Molecule: small nuclear RNA, 99 nt
Filed under: Mola mola (ocean sunfish)
Lineage: Eukaryota; Metazoa; Chordata; Actinopteri; Tetraodontiformes; Molidae
Source: RNAcentral
AUAUAUCACAUGUAUGGUGAAUUGGAAUCGAUACAGAGAAGAUUAGCAUGGCCCCUGGGAAACCUUGACAAGCAAAUUUGUGAAGCGUUUCCACAUUUU